CUGUAGUCCAGAAUGCUACUUAUCGAGAGGCUAUUAAGGUAAGACUCGAUAAGUGUGGGUAUAUUGUGAAUUUCUCAUUUCGUGUUUUUAGGUGUUUGUAUUAUUGGCAAUAUGUAGAGGAGCCAGUAACAUUUUAUACAAAUUAUUUACGCAUAGUUAUAGAGUAGAAUCACCUUUAAGUCUUGAAGAGAAACUAUAUGAUGUAUUUGAAAUAUAUUUAUUUUUAACAUCGCUAGCUCGAAUCCCAAGUCACAGUCGGGGUCCUUUUACCCAGCCGGUGCUGAGGAAAUUCGUAGAGAAAUGCAAGUCUUAUGCGCUGGCGGUUGUCUUUACGCCGUUGGUCACCGGACAAGCGACAUUUGAUAGAUAUUCUGUCUUUUUGUAGUAUUUGGAACCGUAUGUUUGUUAUAUUUGGAUAUUAACGGGGAUUUAUUUUGUUAGGUGUUUUGCGGAUCAACGGGUGGUCUGUCUUGGGCGGCUUUUGAGGUGUUUUUCGGAUCAACGAGCGGCAUGUCUUGGUCGGCCAUUGAGACGUUUUGCUGCAAUGCUAGCUGGUAUAUUUAGAUCGGAUCCUAAGGUACGUCAUGUGGAUAAAAGCUACUGCAUUAAAUUCUCAGCCAUGAGUUUAGGACUAUGAAAAUACGAUAUAUUCCUCCUUUCACUAUACCACUAAGUGUAUGUGAUCAGGGAAAGUUUUGAGUGAUUAAUGAGAAUACUUUGGGUAUCACAGAAAAGGCAGAUGAUAUGUUAAUUACUUUUUUGUAUAUUCACAAUAAAUAAAAGGAUUCUGCA
Molecule: long non-coding RNA, 792 nt
Organism: Penaeus indicus
Lineage: Eukaryota; Metazoa; Arthropoda; Malacostraca; Decapoda; Penaeidae
Exons: 4
Source: RefSeq, a predicted model, not a curated record